This 90-nucleotide ribosomal RNA is filed under the name uncultured bacterium. RNAcentral describes it as "partial 16S ribosomal RNA". The record is from RNAcentral.
CAUGGGAGCCGGGGGUACCGUGAAGUCCGUAACCGCGAGGAUCGGCCUAGGGUAAAACUGGUGACUGGGGCUAAGUCGUAACAAGGUAAC